This 230-nucleotide unclassified non-coding RNA is filed under the name Hevea brasiliensis (rubber tree). The record is from RNAcentral. Lineage: Eukaryota; Viridiplantae; Streptophyta; Magnoliopsida; Malpighiales; Euphorbiaceae.
UGGUUAUUUACAGUGAUGGGGUACUUCCAUAAAUGCCAAAAGUAGAUCAUCUUGUAACUGCUUUGGAACUUUUAGAGUAGUAGUUGGCAAGCAUGCGAUUGGACAUAACCAUUAGGAUAGAGUUUAAUUUGCAUCAUAUUCUAAUCAAUAAGCUCUUACUUAAAUGACAAGCAAACUAGAGAGCAAUUCACGUGCUUCAGUUUUCACACUUUGGGUACGUGCUUUUCUUG